RNAcentral lists this ribosomal RNA (497 nucleotides) under uncultured bacterium. RNAcentral's name for it is "bacterial SSU rRNA". It matches the Rfam family "Bacterial small subunit ribosomal RNA", at positions 21 to 518 of the family's 1533-position model. The record is from RNAcentral.
GGCUCAGGACGAACGCUGGCGGCGUGCUUAACACAUGCAAGUCGAACGGUGAAGCGGAGCUUGCUCUGCGGAUCAGUGGCGAACGGGUGAGUAACACGUGAGCAACCUACCCUUGACUCUGGGAUAACAGUUGGAAACAGCUGCUAAUACCGGAUAUGACCCUGGUGGACAUCCACUGGGGUGGAAAGCUCCGACGGUCAAGGAUGGGCUCGCGGCCUAUCAGCUUGUUGGUGAGGUAACGGCUCACCAAGGCGUCGACGGGUAGCCGGCCUGAGAGGGCGACCGGCCACACUGGGACUGAGAUACGGCCCAGACUCCUACGGGAGGCAGCAGGUGGGGAAUAUUGCACAAGUGGGACGAAAGCCUGAUUCGCAGCAACGCCGCGUGGCGGGAUGGACCGGUCCGUUCGGGUUAGUAAACCGUCUUUCAGCGAGGGACGAAGGGUUUCUGACGGUACCUGCAGAAGAAGCACCGGCUAACUACGUGCCAGCCGCGGC